Cucumis melo (muskmelon) is the source of this 668-nucleotide long non-coding RNA. RefSeq lists it as uncharacterized. The transcript is spliced from 2 exons. The record is from RefSeq and is a predicted model, not a curated record. Lineage: Eukaryota; Viridiplantae; Streptophyta; Magnoliopsida; Cucurbitales; Cucurbitaceae.
GAGGUUGUCGGUUAGAAUGCUGAAAACUGCUUUUGUACUUAAAUCUUAAAUGCAUUUAUUUAAUCUCAAGGAGUCUUUAAUGUUUGUGAUUUAGAAACGCAGACAAAGGCAUCCAUUGCGUUCAUGACACACCCAUUGUUUUGUCAGCUUGGGCAUUUGGCCAACCCGCAUUCUCAAAUAUCAUCCGAUGGCGACGUCUAGACCUCAAUUGAAGUUGACGAGGGAUGAGGUUAGGGAGAUGGAAUCCUCACUAAGCAAGGGGUGAUGCAAGCCAUAAACUCUAUGGGCGGGUGUACUAUGUCAUUCCAGAAAGCUCACUAUGGGAUUGCUUUUUCUGACAAAGAUGGUCUUCAUCUCAUUGAUCAGGAAAACGAGUUGGAGAAACUCGUCGACUAUCUCAUGAGGUUUUCUGCUGGAAAGAAAAAGCAGGAUGAUAAAUCGAGUCAAUCGACCAUGUAAUCUAUUUUCUAUUAUUUAUGUCUAUGUGUCCGGUCGUAUGUUUUUGAGUCAAUAUGGUUUAUGCUCUACAAUUGAGCACGUAUGUUGUUUGCUGUUGUACUUUGGUUGUCUGCUAUAAUAUUGCAUGUGUCACCCGUGGUAAAAUGUCUUCACGUUGUAUACAUGGUGAAGAAUAUUUAAUUUGAUUCCAACGGCUGUAUUUUUCCUAA